GGGCCUCUAGCUCAUUUGGUAGAGCACUUCCAUGGCAUGGAAGGGGUGAGGGGUUCGAAUCCCCUGAGGUCCACCA
Molecule: transfer RNA, 76 nt
Filed under: Candidatus Doudnabacteria bacterium CG10_big_fil_rev_8_21_14_0_10_42_18
Lineage: Bacteria; Candidatus Doudnaibacteriota
Also listed under: 1 other name
Description: tRNA-Ala
Rfam family: tRNA
About the family: Transfer RNA (tRNA) molecules are approximately 80 nucleotides in length.
Source: RNAcentral